Populus nigra (black poplar) is the source of this 1121-nucleotide long non-coding RNA. RefSeq lists it as uncharacterized. The record is from RefSeq and is a predicted model, not a curated record. The transcript has 2 exons. NCBI's taxonomy places the organism in Eukaryota, Viridiplantae, Streptophyta, Magnoliopsida, Malpighiales, Salicaceae.
UAUAAGGAGGUGAACUCUGACUUGCUAGCUUUGGCCUUGUUUUAUCAACUCCAUUAGUGGCAAAGAUUUCCAUUCCUCUCGUUCAGUGCCUGGUUUCGAGUCCUACGUGAGAUUAGCGGCAAUUCUGCCUCCUAAAAUUUUUAUUGGUAGAGGUACCUCACUUUCCAGUAUACAAGAUAGAGCCCUGAACUAAGAGGAGGAAGGGGGACCAAUGAAGAAGGGAAGGCCUAUCCAUAUCAACAGGUAGCUGAGUCAGCUCAGUACAGUAUUCUAUGGAUAAGCAUUUCAACACAAGCAAAUGCAAAUAAUAACUGAAAAAACCACUAACCCUGGAUAAAUUCUCACAGCAUCUCUAUAUAAACAAUCACAUCCCCUGCCCUUUUAUCCAUCCCAGAACUCCUCUAUCCAAUACUUUCAUGCUUGCAACUCCUACCACUUCAUUUCUCCAAAUCACCACCACAAAGACACCUUGCUCAAGCCCUUUUAGUGGCGAGUCCUAUCCACUUAAACCUAGAGCAUCUUUUACUACUGCUUCACCGGCCAAAAAAUCACAAGGGAGCGUUGACUCAAUGGCUACAACCUCCUCAUUCUACGAAGUGCUAGGGCUUCCAAUGAGUGCUAGUGGCCAUGAAAUAAAGGCUGCUUAUAGAAGACUAGCAAGAACUUGCCAUCCUGAUGUUGUGUCCAUGAAUCAGAAAGAAAUGUCAGCCACUGAGUUCAUUAAAAUCCAUGCAGCAUAUUCAACACUAUCAGACCCAGAUAAACGCGCAAGUUAUGAUAGAGAUCUUUUUAGAAACAGUAGGCCUUUCGGGUCUUCUUCUAUGAGGUCGGCAACAAUGGCAGCUGCUUCUGGUUAUACUAGUAGGAACUGGGAGACUGACCAGUGUUGGUAGUUCUUUUUUUUGCCUUUUCAUAUUUCCAUAGCGCAUGUAAUGGAAGUUAUUAAGUUAGCAUGAAAAUGGGUGUUGAACCCUGAAACUCUGCUCGUAUCGUUCUGUAAUCAAUGCUUUUGAUUGAAAACAGAGGAGAUAAAACAGGGGAAAAGACAGAGCUAGUUUGUACGUAGUAGAAAUGGGCACUUUUUUAGUGUAAUUUAAUGUGGAUGUCUGAUUCUUUUGUUA